GGGUAGUGGGAGAGCGUCAAAAGUAGCGCGCUUGGCUCGGACACUCCCAGCCUGUUCAAUGAACGUCCGGAUCUGCUCGUAGGACUGAGUGUAGGCUCGUCGAUACCUGUUGACGACAGUAGCAUCCAGUGGUACCAGGGACCAAUCUUCGUGUUCCAGAUUGAUACCGAGUCCCAAAGGAAGACGAAGCUGCUGAGCGGAUGUCAGAAACUCCACUCUCACUCCCAUUGUAG
This 233-nucleotide long non-coding RNA is filed under the name Helianthus annuus (common sunflower). Its description in RNAcentral is "hypothetical non coding rna". Lineage: Eukaryota; Viridiplantae; Streptophyta; Magnoliopsida; Asterales; Asteraceae. The record is from RNAcentral.